Molecule: ribosomal RNA, 532 nt
Filed under: uncultured bacterium
Lineage: Bacteria
Description: bacterial SSU rRNA
Rfam family: Bacterial small subunit ribosomal RNA
Source: RNAcentral
CACGGCGCACGGGUGCGUAACACGUGGGCAAUCUGCCCUCCGAUGGGGAAUAACCCCGCGAAAGCGGGGCUAAUUCCGCAUAACAUUCCUUGGACUUAGGUUUGAGGAUUCAAAGCAGCAAUGCGUCGGAGGAGGAGCCCGCGCCCGAUUAGCUAGUUGGUGAGGUAACGGCUCACCAAGGCAAUGAUCGGUAGCUGGUCUGAGAGGAUGAUCAGCCACACUGGAACUGAGACACGGUCCAGACUCCUACGGGAGGCAGCAGUGGGGAAUCUUGCACAAUGGGCGAAAGCCUGAUGCAGCGACGCCGCGUGGGGGAUGAAGCUUCUCGGAGUGUAAACCCCUUUCGACUGGGACGAAUGCCCGCAAGGGAGUGACGGUACCAGUAGAAGAAGCCCCGGCUAACUACGUGCCAGCAGCCGCGGUAAGACGUAGGGGGCCAGCGUUGUUCGGAAUUACUGGGUGUAAAGGGUUCGUAGGCGGUGUGGCAAGUUGGGAGUGAAAUCUCUGGGCUCAACCCAGAGGCUGCUUCCAA